This 244-nucleotide ribosomal RNA is filed under the name uncultured bacterium. RNAcentral describes it as "partial 16S ribosomal RNA". It matches the Rfam family "Bacterial small subunit ribosomal RNA", at positions 524 to 767 of the family's 1533-position model. The record is from RNAcentral.
UACGUAGGGGGCAAGCGUUGUCCGGAUUUAUUGGGCGUAAAGAGCGUGUAGGCGGCCAGGUAGGUCCGUUGUGAAAACUCGAGGCUCAACCUCGAGACGUCGGCGGAAACCCUCUGGCUAGAGUCCGGAAGAGGAGAGUGGAAUUCCUGGUGUAGCGGUGAAAUGCGCAGAUAUCAGGAAGAACACCCGUGGCGAAGGCGGGCUCUCUGGGACGUACUGACGCUGAGACGGCGAAGCGUGGGAG